RNAcentral lists this unclassified non-coding RNA (341 nucleotides) under soil metagenome. RNAcentral's name for it is "partial contains 5.8S ribosomal RNA, internal transcribed spacer 2, and large subunit ribosomal RNA". The stretch from base 1 to 120 matches the Rfam family "5.8S ribosomal RNA", at positions 35 to 154 of the family's 154-position model. The record is from RNAcentral.
GAUGAAGAACGCAGCGAAAUGCGAUAAGUAAUGUGAAUUGCAGAAUUCAGUGAAUCAUCGAAUCUUUGAACGCACAUUGCGCCCGCCAGUAUUCUGGCGGGCAUGCCUGUUCGAGCGUCAUUUCAACCAUCAAGCCCCCGGGCUUGUGUUGGGGACCUGCGGCUGCCCGCAGGCCCUGAAAACCAGUGGCGGGCUCGCUGUCACACCGAGCGUAGUAGCAUAUCAUCUCGCUCUGGGCGUGCUGCGGGUUCCGGCCGUUAAAGCCUUUUUUUUUUACCCAAGGUUGACCUCGGAUCAGGUAGGAAGACCCGCUGAACUUAAGCAUAUCAAUAAGCGGAGGA